This 84-nucleotide transfer RNA is filed under the name Pseudomonadota bacterium. RNAcentral's name for it is "tRNA-Leu". It matches the Rfam family "tRNA". From Rfam's summary of the family: Transfer RNA (tRNA) molecules are approximately 80 nucleotides in length. Their secondary structure includes four short double-helical elements and three loops (D, anti-codon, and T loops). Further hydrogen bonds mediate the characteristic L-shaped molecular structure. tRNAs have two regions of fundamental functional importance: the anti-codon, which is responsible for specific mRNA codon recognition, and the 3' end, to which the tRNAs corresponding amino acid is attached (by aminoacyl-tRNA synthetases). tRNAs cope with the degeneracy of the genetic code in two manners: having more than one tRNA (with a specific anti-codon) for a particular amino acid; and 'wobble' base-pairing, i.e. permitting non-standard base-pairing at the 3rd anti-codon position. Lineage: Bacteria; Pseudomonadati; Pseudomonadota. RNAcentral also lists the same sequence under 2 other names. The record is from RNAcentral.
GGCCCCUUGGCGAAAUCGGUAUACGCAGGGGAUUUAAAAUCCCUAGCCCGGAAGGGCGUGUCGGUUCGAGUCCGACAGGGGCUA